This 1310-nucleotide long non-coding RNA is filed under the name Oreochromis niloticus (Nile tilapia). RNAcentral's name for it is "lncRNA (ENSONIG00000032891.1)". The record is from RNAcentral. Lineage: Eukaryota; Metazoa; Chordata; Actinopteri; Cichliformes; Cichlidae.
GUGAAUUAAAAUUAAAGUGGUAGUUUGACACACCCACAGCUGAGCCUUGCCAAGUAGGAGCUUACACCGUGUGUGUUCGUCAGUCCUUCGUCAGUGUAAUUCAUCACUUCUCCUGUCAAUAGCAGGUAAGAACAGGAACAUUGCUCCAUGAGGAAAUAUUGCCACACAAUGAUGAUUUUCACGCAACAUCGCUACUUAAAUUUAGAAAGUGCACUCUGUAACUUUCUUCCUUAAAUCCUUAUUUAUAUUUUCUGCUGUUUCAGAAACUUUGACGGCAGCUGCACAUUUGGCCAUGAGUGGUGUCACAAGUGCCAAAGGCUCAUUCAUGAUUUUGACUCUGCUGUGUCUGGUCCAUUUUUCAAGUUCAGUGAUAAACACGGACCAACUGGAGGAGCUGAAAGCAAACAUUCAAAAACUACAACAAGAAACAAUGAGAAGGAAGGCUGAAAAUAUUUUAGACAGAACCUACGUUCCAGCUAUCUUUGAUGAUAUUGGACGCUUCAUGGAUCCUUUGUCCGAACUUCUGAAGUCAGUGAAAGGUUCUACAUUGGUACUUACACCAGUGCUGGAUUUAAUGAAUGACCUAAAGACUUUCCUGGAAGCCAGCAAGAAGUACAUAAAUAAAUACCUUGAAACAAAAGCUGCAGAAAUCAAGGACAAUGAAGAGAAACUAAGCAGUGUGAUGGCAAUAUUAACACAUCUAGAAAAGCAUAAAGAAGAAUUGUAACAUAUUAGUGUUCUUCUCUGGUAUUAAAUGUUCUGUAUUUGUAAAACUUCUCUUUCAUACUGUGCAGAGUUAGAGCCAAGAAAUAAUUUUGUCAUAUUUUCUUUUCAUUGUCUUUGUUAUAAUUGAGUUCAAAUGCAAAGACGAAACACAUAACUGAGAUUAUAUCUAAGUAACCUUAUUAACACUGACAGCUGUUAAUGAUUUAAAUGAUAAAAGCCUUUUAAUGUGAAUAAAGACAUUAAAGACAUGUUAUUAUUUAAUGUUUUUGCAAAUUGUGAUGUUCGUGAGAAAAGACAGAAGCUGUGGCUGAUCGUUCUCUAGUGUUUGUUCACUGCCCAAAAUGUAAACUCCUUAAGCUACAAAAUGCAGAACACCCAUCAGGUGAUCCUCUGAUGUAGGCCGUCUGUGUGUGCAUGUGUGUGUGUACUGUUAUUCCACACUACUGACUAGAUGUUUUAUACUGGUGUUAAAGGGAGAGUUUAGUUCUACACUCAAUCACAUUAAAGACCACAAGAAACAACACAUCUUAUUUGACUUGUAAAUCAUCAGUGAUGCCCUGGAAAAGAGAUUGAGCAAAAUUCAU